CCAGACACUGCUCCAGGUGCUGAGAAUAUUAGAGUACAAAACAGAUGGAAACUCUCAUCCUCUUGAAGUCCACUCGCAGGAGAUGAGCAAGAAACACACGUGGAACAUGUAUGACAUGUAAACUGCAGUAUCUGAUAGUGUUAAGUGCUGCGAAGGAAAAGCAGGGGAAGGAGAAAGAAGGAGAUGGGAAACGUCAGUUUCAUUAAGGCGUUAGGCUUCUCCAAGGAGGGGACAUCAACCUGAACAGAGAGGAAAGAAGCCCUAUGGCUGUCAGAAGGAACAGCACGUGCAAAAGCCCUGAGGAAGAUCCCCUGGAGACAGAAAUGGCAACCCACUCCAAUAUUCUUGCCUGGAGAAUCCUAUGGACAGAGCGAGUCAGACACGACUGAAGCGACUUGGGACACACGCACAGAUAAUGACAAAGAGAAAAAGAGUAACCUUACUGUGGGCGAACUGGCGGACCCCACCUUAACCAAGUGAUCAAAGAGGACAUCAGUAGUAAUUGGGCAAAGUGAAAUUGUGUGCCCCUCCAUAAGUGAUGUAAAAGCAUCACUUCUGUGGUCUUCUUGCCUGAAGCACCUGAUCUAUUCAUAAGGAAAGAUCAAAAAGAUUCCAAAUAAAGGGACAAUUAGCCUAUACAGAUUCAAAAAUGUCAAGGUCGCAAAAGUCAAAGAAAAAGGAGCUGUUCCAGAUUUUAAAAAAAGAGUAAAGAGGCACAAAAACGAAAUAGAACAUAUAUCCUGGAUUGGAUGUUGGGUCAGGAAAAAAAGUUUUUUGUUUGUUUGCUUUAAAGGGCAAGAGUGGAAUAAUUGGCAACAUUUCAAUAGGUCUAAAUGUAGAUAAUAGUUACCUACAAUGUUAAUUUCCUAAUUUUUGCAUCUGUUUUUAAGAAAAUGUACAUAAAACCAUUUAGAGAUAAAAGGGUGUCCUGUCUGCAAUUCAUCCCCAGCAGUUUAGACAAAAUAUAUGCAG
This is a long non-coding RNA of Bos taurus (domestic cattle), 972 nucleotides long. The record is from Ensembl. Lineage: Eukaryota; Metazoa; Chordata; Mammalia; Artiodactyla; Bovidae.